AUUGAACGCUGGCGGCAUGCCUAACACAUGCAAGUCGAACGAGUGGCGGACGGGUGAGUAAUGUCUGGGAAACUGCCUGCUGGAGGGGGAUAACUACUGGAAACGGUAGCUAAUACCGCAUACCAUCGGAUGUGCCCAGAUGGGAUUAGCUAGUAGGUGGGGUAAACGCUCACCUAGGCGACGAUCCCUAGCUGGUCUGAGAGGAUGACCAGCCACCCUGGAGCUGAGACACGGUCCAGACUCCUACGGGAGGCAGCAGUGGGGAAUAGGGGACAAUGGGGGCAAGCCUGAUACAGCCAUGCCGCGUGUAUGAAGAAGGCCUUGGGGUUGUAAAGAACUUUCAGCGGGGAGGCGUUACCCGCAGAAGAAGCACCGGCUAACUCCGUGCCAGCAGCCGCGGUAAUAC
Molecule: ribosomal RNA, 406 nt
Filed under: uncultured bacterium
Lineage: Bacteria
Description: partial 16S ribosomal RNA
Rfam family: Bacterial small subunit ribosomal RNA
Source: RNAcentral